Molecule: ribosomal RNA, 1821 nt
Filed under: Triticum aestivum (bread wheat)
Lineage: Eukaryota; Viridiplantae; Streptophyta; Magnoliopsida; Poales; Poaceae
Description: partial small subunit ribosomal RNA
Source: RNAcentral
AUGCCAUUCGGUGUUACAAAUGGACCAUCCACAUUUCAGUGUGUCAUAAAUUCUGUUUUCUCGGAUCCGAAUCGCAAGUUCGUCAUCACCUUCUUGGAUGACAUUUUGGUCUUCAGUCCUUCCCUGGAAGAGCAUGAGGAGCAUUUGCGCAUAGUCUUUGCCACUCUGCGCAAGCAUCAACUGUAUGCGAAGCAGUCCAAAUGCUCGUUUGCCCAGCCCAGCGUCGAGUAUUUGGGACAUGUGAUUUCUCGUGAGGGAGUCGCGACAGAUGCAAGCAAGACAAGGGCCAUGAAAGCGUGGCCACGACCAACAAAUGCAACAGAGCUGCGUGGGUUUCUCGGACUUACAGGUUAUUACCGCAAAUUUGUGCCUCGAUAUGGCAUUCUCGCGAAGCCGCUUACUCAACUCCUCACUAAGAAGGGUUUCAAUUGGUCUGAACAAGCUCAAACAACGUUUGAUCUGCUCAAGGAGGCGAUGGUGAACACACCGGUGUUGGCCCUUCCUGAUUUCAAUCGCCCGUUCUGGAUCGAGACCGAUGCGUGUGACACGGGCAUAGGAGCAGUCUUAGUACAGGAUGGUCACCCAAUUGCUUAUCUUAGCAAAGCCCUGGGUGUUCGCAAUCAACGUCUCUCCAUCUACGAGAAAGAAUUUCUCGCUGUGAUGAUGGCCGUGGAGAAGUGGCGUCCAUAUCUCCAGCUCGCCCCAUUCGUCAUUGUCACUGAUCACAAAAGCUUGUGUCACCUCGGUGAUCAGCAGCUUGAAACAGAGCUCCAGCGCAAGGCGGUGUCUAAAAUGGUGGGGCUUCAGUUUUCAUUCAAAUAUAGGCGCGGCCCGGACAAUGGCGCGGCAGAUGCGCUAUCCCGAGUCGGUCACCUGCUCUCAAUAGAUGCUUUGACAGUUUGCCAACCAUAGUGGCUUCAAGAAGUUGCAAAUUCCUACGAAACUGACAUGGACAGUCAAGAUUUGCUCAAACGUUUGGCAUUGAACAGUCCAGAUGAUCAGGGGUAUGAACUGCGACAAGGAGUGAUUCGUUGUCACGGCAAGCUUUGGAUAGGUGCCAACACCGCACUACAGACUAAGUUGAUCAAUGCAUUUCAUGCCAGUGCAAUUGGUGGCCAUUUUGGUGUUACUGCAACCUAUCAGCGCAUCAAGAAACUGUUUGCUUGGAAGGGUCUCAAAGCUGCAGUCGAAGAUUUCGUGCGCCAAUGUUCCGUUUGUCAGCAUGCAAAACAUGAACACCUGAAGACACCAGGCUUAUUACAGCCACUUCCCAUACCAACAGAACCUUGGCAUGAUCUCACCAUGGACUUUGUCGAAGGUUUACCAUCAUCCGAAGGGUACGAAGUGAUUAUGGUGGUAGUGGACCGCUUCACUAAGUAUGCUCACUUUGUUCCACUCCGCCAUCCCUUCAUUGCAGCUACUGUGGCAAGAGCAUUCUGGGACAACAUCAUCAAGUUACAUGGGGUGCCACACUCGAUUGUCUCAGAUCGUGACUGUAUUUUUACCAGUGCAAUGUGGCGUGCUCUGCUAGAGGCCGCCGGGACCAAACUCAGCUACUCAACUGCCUAUCACCCGCAGACCGAUGGCCAAAGUGAGCGUGUUAACCAGUGCCUCGAAAUGUACCUCCGUUGUGCCAUGCAUGAUACACCCAAGCAAUGGCGCAAAUGGCUUCCCACGGCUGAAUUCUGGUAUAACACUACCCAUCACUCCUCACUCAAUACAUCUCCUUUCAAGGCUCUGUAUGGACAAGAACCUAAUUUGGGAGGCUUGCCUACAAUCGCAACACACCUUCCUGAAAAUGCUGAUGCUGAUUUGGAUUGA